AUACGUAGGUGGCAAGCGUUGUCCGGAUUUACUGGGUGUAAAGGGCGAGUAGGCGGGACUACAAGUCAGCUGUGAAAACCCGGGGCUUAACCCCGGGCCUGCAGUUGAAACUGUAGUUCUUGAGUGAUGGAGAGGCAGGCGGAAUUCCCGGUGUAGCGGUGGAAUGCGUAGAUAUUAGGAGGAACACCAGUGGCGAAGGCGGCUUACUGGACGAUAACUGACGCUGAGGCUCGAAAGCGUGGGGAGC
This 247-nucleotide ribosomal RNA is filed under the name uncultured bacterium. Its description in RNAcentral is "partial 16S ribosomal RNA". It matches the Rfam family "Bacterial small subunit ribosomal RNA", at positions 523 to 769 of the family's 1533-position model. The record is from RNAcentral.